UGCAAACGGAGGAGGAUCCAUGAUGUUUGGAUACCGGCCUGUGCAUGCAGAUUAAAUGACUGACCCCACCAAGGCGAGGCACCGUCACUCUGAACCGGCUCAAACCGGCUCCUGUGGUUGGUUCACGGCUGGCUGCACCGCGGGGGGCCCUAGGGUAGCCCCAUACUGUACAUCUGUCCUCACGAUGUUCCCGCCCGGGGUCCGGAGCCCCGUCGAUCAGACGUGGAAGUUCCCGAGAAGAUGUCUAAAGGGAUCUACAAGCAGAGUCAGAAGGUCACAUUUAUACUCAGCUGGACAAGCUAGCAUGGAAUAUGUUCAUAAUGCUGUUUGACACAAGACAGGUAUUAAGGUCUGACUAUUGUAAAGUAGCAAAGCUGUAGAAUACCCCAAACUUUACAUCAACAUUUGAUCAGAAUGUUUGUUGUUUUUCAGGGUUCUUGCUUGAAUCCUUACCUUUUACUCUUCAUAAAUGAUUUCAAACAUGUGUUUUGGACAGAUGAUAUAGUGCCAUGAUAACUGGACCUCU
This is a long non-coding RNA of Eleginops maclovinus (Patagonian blennie), 526 nucleotides long. RefSeq lists it as uncharacterized. The record is from RefSeq and is a predicted model, not a curated record. NCBI's taxonomy places the organism in Eukaryota, Metazoa, Chordata, Actinopteri, Perciformes, Eleginopidae. The transcript is spliced from 3 exons.